This is a non-coding RNA of Flavobacterium fryxellicola, 96 nucleotides long. NCBI's taxonomy places the organism in Bacteria, Pseudomonadati, Bacteroidota, Flavobacteriia, Flavobacteriales, Flavobacteriaceae. The record is from Rfam.
UUUUAGCCCCGAUGGAAGGGAAAAUCCUUUUUAUUUUUUAGUCCCAGCGUAGCAGGACUAAAAAAUAAAAAGAUUGGAAUGACAGCGGGACUAGCU